GAGGGUAGCACUCAGUGGUACAGUGUGUGCUUAGCAUGCAUGUGGUCCUGGGUUCAAUCCCCAGUAUCUCCA
This is a transfer RNA of Camelus ferus (Wild Bactrian camel), 72 nucleotides long. It matches the Rfam family "tRNA". From Rfam's summary of the family: Transfer RNA (tRNA) molecules are approximately 80 nucleotides in length. Their secondary structure includes four short double-helical elements and three loops (D, anti-codon, and T loops). The record is from Rfam. Lineage: Eukaryota; Metazoa; Chordata; Mammalia; Artiodactyla; Camelidae.